Molecule: ribosomal RNA, 254 nt
Filed under: uncultured bacterium
Lineage: Bacteria
Description: partial 16S ribosomal RNA
Rfam family: Bacterial small subunit ribosomal RNA
Source: RNAcentral
UACGGGGGGGGCAAGCGUUGUUCGGAAUUACUGGGCGUAAAGGGCUCGUAGGCGGCCAACUAAGUCGGACGUGAAAUCCCUCGGCUUAACCGGGGAACUGCGUCCGAUACUGGAUGGCUUGAGUUUGGGAGAGGGAUGCGGAAUUCCAGGUGUAGCGGUGAAAUGCGUAGAUAUCUGGAGGAACACCGGUGGCGAAGGCGGCAUCCUGGACCAACACUGACGCUGAGUGAGCGAAAGCCAGGGGAGCAAACGGG